RNAcentral lists this long non-coding RNA (901 nucleotides) under Numida meleagris (helmeted guineafowl). Its description in RNAcentral is "lncRNA (ENSNMEG00000004193.1)". The record is from RNAcentral. Lineage: Eukaryota; Metazoa; Chordata; Aves; Galliformes; Numididae.
CACAGACUUAAAUUGUUUCAUUUUGAACUAAACUCGAAAUCUAAGAUAUUUGAAAGGACACCAAUUAAGUAGUAUUGUUCCUUUUUCUGUGAUACAAGUAUAAACUGGCAAUGAAUGUCUGCUUUAGGCCAGGCAUACUAGCUCUGAAAUAAAAGAUGGUACUGCUACAAUUGAACUGGUUUUAGUCUAGCUCCACUCAAUCAACAACUAAAUUCUUUACCUUCUCUUCUGUAGGGGCAACAAGAAGUGACUGUGUUUCUCCAUGACACAUUUGUAGCAAUAUGAAAUUUAUGUUUCAAGUGUCAGGAUGACAGACAGACCUACUGCCUCUUCUUGUUUCUCCUUAAGCACCUCCGAUGGUUGGGCAACUCUACCUUGUGAGAGUUCCUUUAUGAAAUACAGUUAUAUUGGAAGCAAUUGCCCACAGUCUUGAGGAAGAAAUUAUGUGAAAUGCCUGGUAACCACAUAUCUAGACAGAGCACUGCAGACAGAUCUGCACACAACCCAGGAGAUGUUGACAGAACAUUAAUAGGUGAAACACCUUCAACUUGUAAUUGUUUGAAAGAGAAGACCUCCAUGAACUUUUGGAUUUAUUUGCCUCCCACGUCAUUCUGGUGCUAUUUAUUGGGCUUGUGAUGCUGAAGAAAGUGAUCUGAUUUUCCUGGAUCUGUAUGAAUAAUGUUAUAGGAGAAAUCCUUCACAUGCAAUCAACCUCCUUUUAAAGUCUCACAUGUGAUCUGUGCCUUAGAGAGAUGCUGAAAUGGACAUGGAGUUUUUAACACCUCUGUAUCGCCUAGAUUCUGGAGUUACUUUUUUUGUGGUUUUUAUACACACAAGAUAUUAAUCCCAACGCUUUCAAAGAAAAAUAGAAAAUAAAGAUUUUAAGAAGAAAAAAUUUGCA